RNAcentral lists this long non-coding RNA (865 nucleotides) under Homo sapiens (human). RNAcentral describes it as "non-protein coding lnc-TGS1-3:2". The record is from RNAcentral. Lineage: Eukaryota; Metazoa; Chordata; Mammalia; Primates; Hominidae.
GGUUAUUUGGAUCUAAUUCACACAAAGUAGUCCAGUUCUCUAGCCACCACCUGUAAUGGGUGUGUCAUCCAGAGACUGUGUCCCCACGAUGACAUCCACAGGAAGUAACAGAGGGCUCAACCUAGGACUUCUUUUGGUACAAAGCCCCAAAUCAAUUUUUUUAAAAAAUAGACAAUUUUUAUAAGUAGACAUACUUCCUAGUACUCCAUGAUUUGAUCCUCCAAGCAAGAUUUCCACUAAAAAAUACUAAUCUUUUGUUGGGAUGUGGAAAGAUUACCUAGUCACCAGUAAAGGCCCAGGAAAAGGCUCUUCUUGUCAGCACAUGGUGAAAACAUUCCAUCCCCACUGGAGAAGGAAAAAACGAUUUUGGCAAAUUCUUCACUUUUGUGCAGAACCUUGAGUUAUUAGCUUCAUUGUUUCCAAGACAACUUUUAACUGAUGAUCUUUGGAAAUUGAGUUUCUCAGUUGAACUGUACCUUUGAUUCUAUGAGUAAAUCACAGAUUACAGUCUAAUAGAGUCAAUCAAUCAACACAAACCCAACAGGCCCCAUCAUGCUUCAAUCAUAAACAUCUUGGAGCUUGUCAAGCUUUACUGGAGGUGAUUUGCAGUUAAUUAAUUCAACAGACACUUUAAUCUUGCAAAUUCUUGACUUGUAAUAUUGUAACCAAGCUCCUGCAAGGGAACAUUAAUCAGUUAGUGAAAAAGGAGCACUUCCGUUCAGCCGUAGUACCAUGACGUGCACAGGCCUGAAGAGAAAUACCUCUGUGAAGUGGAGCGCUAGUGAAUUCCUGCUACCUGCUUCUUAUGGCUCACGCUAUGAAUAUUCACCUGCUUCAUUUGUUUUUUCCAGUAAACGCUGUUUUG